GACGAACGCUGGCGGCGUGCUUAACACAUGCAAGUCGAACGGAAAGGCCCUGCUAGCAGGGUACUCGCGUGGCGAACGGGUGAGUAACACGUGGGUGUUCUGCCCUGCACUUCGGGAUAAGCCUGGGAAACUGGGUCGAAUACCGGAUAGGAGCCAUUUUUAGUGUGAUGGUGGGAGAGUUUUUUGCGGUGUGGGAUUGGCUCGCGGCCUAUCAGCUUGUUGGGGGGGUAAUGGCCUACCACGGCGGCGACGGGUAGCCGGCCUGGGGUGGUGGGCGGCCACAGUGAGACCUAGAGGAGGCCCAGGUGCCGACGGGGGCACGAAGGGGGGAAGAUUGAUCCAUGGGCGCCAGCCGGAUGCAGAGACGCCGCGGGGGGGAUGGUGGCCUUAGGGUUGGAAAAGGCAUUCGAUUGGGAAGAAGCUUUUUGUGACGGUACCUAGAUAAGAAGCACCGGCUAACUACGUG
Molecule: ribosomal RNA, 466 nt
Filed under: uncultured bacterium
Lineage: Bacteria
Description: partial 16S ribosomal RNA
Rfam family: Bacterial small subunit ribosomal RNA
Source: RNAcentral